UACGAGGGGGGCAAGCGUUGUUCGGAUUUAUUGGGCGUAAAGGGUGCGUAGGCGGUUUGGCAAGUCUGAUGUGAAAUCUAUGGGCUCAACCCAUAGUCUGCAUCAGAAACUGCCGGGCUUGAGUAUGGGAGAGGUGAGUGGAAUUUCCGGUGUAGCGGUGAAAUGCGUAGAUAUCGGAAGGAACACCUGUGGCGAAAGCGGCUCACUGGACCAUAACUGACGCUGAUGCACGAAAGCUAGGGGAGCAAACAGGAUUAGAUACCCUGGUAGUCCUAGCCCUAAACGAUGAUUGUUUGAUGUGGCAGGUACCCAAUCCUGCCGUGUCGAAGCUAACGCGAUAAACAAUCCGCCUGGGGAGUACGGUCGCAAGGCUGAA
Molecule: ribosomal RNA, 376 nt
Filed under: uncultured bacterium
Lineage: Bacteria
Description: bacterial SSU rRNA
Rfam family: Bacterial small subunit ribosomal RNA
Source: RNAcentral